This 71-nucleotide transfer RNA is filed under the name Stegodyphus mimosarum. It matches the Rfam family "tRNA". From Rfam's summary of the family: Transfer RNA (tRNA) molecules are approximately 80 nucleotides in length. Their secondary structure includes four short double-helical elements and three loops (D, anti-codon, and T loops). Further hydrogen bonds mediate the characteristic L-shaped molecular structure. tRNAs have two regions of fundamental functional importance: the anti-codon, which is responsible for specific mRNA codon recognition, and the 3' end, to which the tRNAs corresponding amino acid is attached (by aminoacyl-tRNA synthetases). tRNAs cope with the degeneracy of the genetic code in two manners: having more than one tRNA (with a specific anti-codon) for a particular amino acid; and 'wobble' base-pairing, i.e. permitting non-standard base-pairing at the 3rd anti-codon position. Lineage: Eukaryota; Metazoa; Arthropoda; Arachnida; Araneae; Eresidae. The record is from Rfam by way of RNAcentral.
GCCUUCGUCGUGUAGCGGUAGCACACUCGCCGCGUGUUCGAGAGGUCCAGGUUCGAGUCCCGGCUAGGGCA